This 497-nucleotide ribosomal RNA is filed under the name uncultured bacterium. RNAcentral's name for it is "partial 16S ribosomal RNA". It matches the Rfam family "Bacterial small subunit ribosomal RNA", at positions 28 to 507 of the family's 1533-position model. The record is from RNAcentral.
GACGAACGCUGGCGGCGUGCCUAAUACAUGCAAGUAGAACGCUGAAGAGAGGAGCUUGCUCUUCUUGGAUGAGUUGCGAACGGGUGAGUAACGCGUAGGUAACCUGCCUUGUAGCGGGGGAUAACUAUUGGAAACGAUAGCUAAUACCGCAUAACAAUGGAUGACACAUGUCAUUUAUUUGAAAGGGGCAAUUGCUCCACUACAAGAUGGACCUGCGUUGUAUUAGCUAGUAGGUGAGGUAAUGGCUCACCUAGGCGACGAUACAUAGCCGACCUGAGAGGGUGAUCGGCCACACUGGGACUGAGACACGGCCCAGACUCCUACGGGAGGCAGCAGUAGGGAAUCUUCGGCAAUGGGGGCAACCCUGACCGAGCAACGCCGCGUGAGUGAAGAAGGUUUUCGGAUCGGAAAGCUCUGUUGUAAGUCAAGAACGGGUGUGAGAGUGGAAAGUUCACACUGUGACGGUAGCUUACCAGAAAGGGACGGCUAACUACGUG